UAUUGCACAAUGGGGGAAACCCUGAUGCAGCGACGCCGCGUGAGCGAAGAAGUAUUUCGGUAUGUAAAGCUCUAUCAGCAGGGAAGAAAAAAAUGACGGUACCUGACUAAGAAGCCCCGGCUAACUACGUGCCAGCAGCCGCGGUAAUACGUAGGGGGCAAGCGUUAUCCGGAUUUACUGGGUGUAAAGGGAGCGUAGACGGCAAUACAAGUCGGAAGUGAAAUACCCGGGCUCAACCUGGGAACUGCUUUGGAAACUGUAUGGCUGGAGUGCUGGAGAGGUAAGCGGAAUUCCUAGUGUAGCGGUGAAAUGCGUAGAUAUUAGGAGGAACACCAGUGGCGAAGGCGGCUUACUGGACAGUAACUGACGUUGAGGCUCGAAAGCGUGGGGAGCAAACAGGA
RNAcentral lists this ribosomal RNA (401 nucleotides) under uncultured bacterium. RNAcentral describes it as "bacterial SSU rRNA". It matches the Rfam family "Bacterial small subunit ribosomal RNA", at positions 362 to 777 of the family's 1533-position model. The record is from RNAcentral.